CUCGAAGGCCCAGGCCUGCAUCCACACAGAGAAUCUGAUGUUCAGGGAACUAGAGGAAUUGUGGAAUUAAAGCAAAGAAGCUUGUUAAGAUGCAUGUGAAAACAAACUGACAAAGAGAAGAGAUGUCAAAGCCAAGAAAGACAAAGAUUGAAGAAAGGAACUUUACAAAGAAUUUCAGGUAUCUGAGGGAAGACAAAAGGGCCAAUGUUACAACAUCUGUACUACAUCUUUUCCCUUUAAGAGGGAAAAAAGAAAUCGAAAAACAAGGAAAAUCUUCCAAAAGAUCUGCAAACAAAAAGAGAUUCCAAACUCAAAUUAGUACGCCAAAAGAUACCAAUUACAUAGUAACAGAUUUUUAAAAAUCAAAUAAAGAUAAAAGGAAUAUAAUUAAA
Molecule: long non-coding RNA, 392 nt
Organism: Crotalus tigris (Tiger rattlesnake)
Lineage: Eukaryota; Metazoa; Chordata; Lepidosauria; Squamata; Viperidae
Exons: 2
Source: RefSeq, a predicted model, not a curated record